UCUCUCUAGCAUUUCCAUUUUUUGCAGCCGCCUCUAAUUCGCUUGGUGCAGGUCGGGACUCACUUGACGCCGCCACUUGUUCCGGAUUGUCAUUUCGGUCCCUGUUCAGGGGUCUAGAUAAAAUGACAAUCCGGAACAAGUAAAAAGGUUUCCCAAGCCAUUGAAUUGGUGUUGACUGCAGUGAAAAUUGGGUCCCGCCUUGCAUCAACUGAAUUGGAGACCGCUGUGAAUUGAGUAUUUUGGAUUGAUUUCAGUUAAAUCAGCUUCGUUCUGGGUCGAUCUAAUAUCGGCUAUUUGCUUUGACUCAGGUUUAAUCUGUUCAGUUUGAUUUGGAUUUGUUACUUAUUUAUAUGUGUGUGUGUGUUUUGUAAUUUGUACUUCAGAUUAGAUUUGCGUGGAGGAUUGCGUUCAUACCUGCACUAACGCACUGGAUCCCAUCAGAACUCCGAAGUUGAGUGCUAAUUUGUACUGCUGUAAUUGUAUUCUUUUGUUGUUAUUACUGUCCUUUUGCAGGAUGCUUUGUCAUGCUUUCUUUAUUAUUUGCUAUGAUUUUCUUUUUUAUUUGCAAUGCUUUCCGAACUGCUUUUAUAGGCUUUCUUUGAGCGGAGGGUCUAUCGGAAAGAACCUCUCUAUCCAGAGGCAAAACCAAACCAGGAUUUUAACGCAGAGGGGGCACCAAUAACCAAUGCCUUAAUAAAGAUAUGUCAAUUAUUAUUGUGAAAGUUUGGCGUGUUUGAAAACCUUAUAAUUAUGGUAAGUUAUUAGGAAAGUAGUAGGAAUAAACUUCAAAAUUGGAAGAAGGAAAAUGGGUUUAGAAUGGGAAAAAUUUUUGCUAAUUUUUCAUCUCUGCGUUGGAGCAGAAAAAUUGAAUCUUUUGUGUGGUGUGUGUGCACGCACGUGUGUGUCGUUGGGGGGGGGGGGGUUAUAAAGAAGAUUUAUCCGUAGAGAAUCUACAAUACAAAACAGAUUCAACAAAAA
This is a long non-coding RNA of Lycium ferocissimum, 978 nucleotides long. RefSeq lists it as uncharacterized. Lineage: Eukaryota; Viridiplantae; Streptophyta; Magnoliopsida; Solanales; Solanaceae. The record is from RefSeq and is a predicted model, not a curated record. The transcript is spliced from 2 exons.